UCACAGUUGCGUAGGUUUGGAUUCUAGAAUUUCGUCCCUAUUUUUGUUUUGAAGGCAAUUUUCUGGAAGUUUAGGAUGGCCCAGCUCACGAGUGGUUCAGAUUCAACUUCGUUUCUUGGGUUUUGCAUUUUGUUCUGGGUUCAUUGCUUGAAUGUGGUGCUUUAGCUUCAUUUUUUGAAGGUUGUAUAUAUAGACCCUGUUUGAGCCACAUUAUUGUAAAAAUAAGAAUGAAAAAUAUAGUCAUUAUGAGCUCCACACAAAAGAUAAAAAGUCAAAUAUGGUGACUUGAUGUGAUGGAUAACGGUCAUAUUUUUUCAUUUUAAUGAAGACGCGAAUUCGGGA
Molecule: long non-coding RNA, 342 nt
Filed under: Olea europaea (common olive)
Lineage: Eukaryota; Viridiplantae; Streptophyta; Magnoliopsida; Lamiales; Oleaceae
Description: long non-coding RNA (OEUR_LNC010806)
Source: RNAcentral